GACGAACGCUGGCGGCGUGCCUAAUACAUGCAAGUAGAACGCAGUUGCGAACGGGUGAGUAACGCGUAGGUAACUGCCUAAUAGCGGAGGAUCACUGUAGGAAACGAUAGCGAAUACAGCAUACUGUGAGAUGGACCUGCGUUGUAUUAGCUCGUGGGUGAUGUAAAGGGUCACCAAGGCGACGAUACAUAGCCGACCUUAGAGGGGGAUCUUGCACAGUGGGACUGGUACACGGCCCAGACUCCUGCGGGAGGCAGCAGUAUGGAAUCUUCGUCAAUGGACGGAAGUCUGACCGAGCCACGCCCCGGGAUUUAAGGUGGUUUUCCGAUUCUAAAGCUCUGUUGUUCUGGUAGCGGUAACUAACCAGAAAGGGACGGCUAACUACGUGCCAGCAGCCGCGGUAAUAC
RNAcentral lists this ribosomal RNA (407 nucleotides) under uncultured bacterium. Its description in RNAcentral is "partial 16S ribosomal RNA". It matches the Rfam family "Bacterial small subunit ribosomal RNA", at positions 28 to 526 of the family's 1533-position model. The record is from RNAcentral.